GACGAACGCUGGCGGCGUGCUUAACACAUGCAAGUCGAACGGAAAGGCCCUGCUUUUGUGGGGUGCUCGCGUGGCGAACGGGUGAGUAACACGUGAGUAACCUGCCCUUGACUUUGGGAUAACUUCAGGAAACUGGGGCUAAUACCUGAUAGGAGCUCCUGCUGCAUGGUGGGGGUUGGAAAGUUUCGGCGGUUGGGGAUGGACUCGCGGCUUAUCAGCUUGUUGGUGGGGUAGUGGCUUACCAAGGCUUUGACGGGUAGCCGGCCUGAGAGGGUGACCAGCCACAUUGGGACUGAGAUACGGCCCAGACUCCUACGGGAGGCAGCAGUGGGGAAUAUUGCACAAUGGGCGGAAGCCUGAUGCAGCAACGCCGCGUGCGGGAUGAAGGCCUUCGGGUUGUAAACCGCUGUCGCCUGUGACGAAGCGUGAGUGACGGUAAUGGGUAAAGAAGCACCGGCUAACUACGUG
This 468-nucleotide ribosomal RNA is filed under the name uncultured bacterium. Its description in RNAcentral is "partial 16S ribosomal RNA". It matches the Rfam family "Bacterial small subunit ribosomal RNA", at positions 28 to 507 of the family's 1533-position model. The record is from RNAcentral.